GGCUCUUUUUUAGUGCUUUGAAAUAUUCAAAGUUAUUCAUUCAGUUAUGGAUUGUGAAGAAGCCAUUGUUAUGGCUGCCUGUGAUGUAGUUAGGAGUUCUCAGCUGAUAAUGUUCAAUACUUAGAAUUAAGAACAACUCCUCGGGCUAAUACCAAUUCAGGAAUGACAAAAAGGUCUUAUGUUGUUGCUGUUGUAAAAGGUAUACAGUUGACCCUUCCAAGUUGUGCAAAUGACAUUCAAAUUAUUAUUGUCUAUUGAUCAUCAUCAGAAUAUUACUGAAGCAUACGAUACCAUUGAAUUAGCAAUGGAGCAUCGUAAUACUGGUGGUGCUGGUCAAGCUAGUGUUGUUGGAAUCGAUUUAAGUGGAGACCCAAUGGCUGGUAAUGGCAGAGACCUUUUACAAGUGUUCGAAGAAGGAAAGAGAAGAAGUUUUAAAUUAGCUGUACAUAUUGCAGAAAAACCCAACAGAGAGAGUGACACUGAUAUAUUACUGAGUACCUGAUUGUCUUGGUCAUGCUACAUAUAUUCAUUGUGGUCCUGAGGGUCAUAGCAGUCAAGCUGUACAGACAGUACUAGCUAAAAAAAAUACCAAUUGAAUUGUGUCAGACAUCUAAUGACAAGGCCGUACAGUUCCUAGCUAUAGUGAACACCAGUUGAAA
This 659-nucleotide long non-coding RNA is filed under the name Amphimedon queenslandica. RNAcentral describes it as "uncharacterized LOC109585959, transcript variant X1". The record is from RNAcentral. Lineage: Eukaryota; Metazoa; Porifera; Demospongiae; Haplosclerida; Niphatidae.